GGUAUAGACCCGAAACCCGGUGAUCUAGCCAUGGGCAGGUUGAAGGUUGGGUAACACUAACUGGAGGACCGAACCGACUAAUGUUGAAAAAUUAGCGGAUGACUUGUGGCUGGGGGUGAAAGGCCAAUCAAACCGGGAGAUAGCUGGUUCUCCCCGAAAGCUAUUUAGGUAGCGCCUCGUGAACUCAUCUUCGGGGGUAGAGCACUGUUUCGGCUAGGGGGUCAUCCCGACUUACCAACCCGAUGCAAACUACGAAUACCGAAGAAUGUUAUCACGGGAGACACACGGCGGGUGCUAACGUCCGUCGUGAAGAGGGAAACAACCCAGACCGCCAGCUAAGGUCCCAAAGUCAUGGUUAAGUGGGAAACGAUGUGGGAAGGCACAGACAGCCAGGA
RNAcentral lists this ribosomal RNA (395 nucleotides) under Klebsiella pneumoniae. Its description in RNAcentral is "partial 23S ribosomal RNA". It matches the Rfam family "Bacterial large subunit ribosomal RNA", at positions 706 to 1098 of the family's 2925-position model. Lineage: Bacteria; Pseudomonadati; Pseudomonadota; Gammaproteobacteria; Enterobacterales; Enterobacteriaceae. The record is from RNAcentral.